UCAUUUCUCAUGGUUGUUUUUUGUCUUGGCAGUUGGCUUUGCCUGGGUACCUUUGCUGAAGGAUGGUAGAAUCAUCACAUUUGAGCAGCAGCUGCCAGUUUCCGCUAAUCUUCCUCCAGGCUACUUGAAUCUGAAUGAUGCCGAAUCAAGAAGGCAGUCUAAUGUGGAUAUUAAGUGGGUAGAUGGUGCAAAGCCUUUGUUGAAGAUUAAAAGUCACUUGGAGUCUACCAUUUAUACUCAAGAUCUACAUGUGCACAAAUUCUUCCAUCAUUGCCAGCUGAUUCAGUCAGGCUCAAAAGAAGUUCCAGGGGAGCUCAUUAAAUAUUUAAAGGUAAAUGAACAGUAGCUUUC
Non-coding RNA from Delphinapterus leucas (beluga whale), 351 nucleotides. Lineage: Eukaryota; Metazoa; Chordata; Mammalia; Artiodactyla; Monodontidae. The record is from RefSeq and is a predicted model, not a curated record.